This is a long non-coding RNA of Zalophus californianus (California sea lion), 551 nucleotides long. RefSeq lists it as uncharacterized. NCBI's taxonomy places the organism in Eukaryota, Metazoa, Chordata, Mammalia, Carnivora, Otariidae. The transcript is spliced from 4 exons. The record is from RefSeq and is a predicted model, not a curated record.
CAGGAACACAAAGGAAAGGCCAUGUGAGGACACAGUGAAAAGGUGGCCAUCUGCAGCCCCAGGAGAGAGGAAUCACCAGACAUCAGCCCUGCUGGCACCUUCACCUUGGACUUUUGGCUCCAGAAUGAUAAUCAGAGCGUGCAUUACAUGCCAGACAAUGUUCCAAAUACAGAGCAGCAAAAGUCAUUUAUAAUGUUACGUAUUUGUCGUCUCCCUGCUGGGUUUCAUUUGACCUUGCAAUAACAUACAUUACCGGAAGAGAACACAACUGACGCAUCCAAAGCGGGAAAACCUGUACUCCAUCCUUCGUCUUAAUCCUUAUGGACUGUACUUGCUGGUGUCUGUCACCACUAGAAAUGGUUUGGAUCAACAAGUGCUCUAAGGUUUUAUUGAUACUGACUCAAAGCAUAAUACCCUAGGAAUAUUGAUGUUACUAAUGGACUUGAAAAGAACUAGAAGUCCUCAAGAAAGACCUGAAGGAAUAUAUCUUAAAUUGUGGCUUUUCAGAUGAAGAUUUGAACUGGAGCUUCUCUGGGUCUGCGUAAGCUUUC